GUGCAUUCAGAAAUGUUCUAGCUCUAGCCCUUGCUAUAUGGCGACACUUGGCUAGAGCUAGAGCCAGAGUAUUUUUGAAUGCAAUUUUAAUCUCAUAGAAAUUCAAAAAUUUGAAUUUCCCGCUUGAAAUUUAAAAUUUUGCCAUCUAUGAGAAAUAU
This is a small nucleolar RNA of Microplitis demolitor, 158 nucleotides long. RefSeq annotates it as small nucleolar RNA SNORA14. The record is from RefSeq and is a predicted model, not a curated record. The transcript has a single exon. Lineage: Eukaryota; Metazoa; Arthropoda; Insecta; Hymenoptera; Braconidae.